RNAcentral lists this ribosomal RNA (236 nucleotides) under uncultured bacterium. RNAcentral's name for it is "partial 16S ribosomal RNA". It matches the Rfam family "Bacterial small subunit ribosomal RNA", at positions 118 to 347 of the family's 1533-position model. The record is from RNAcentral.
UGAGUAACCUGCCCCAGACUCUGGGAUAACUUCGGGAAAUCGGAGCUAAUACCGGAUACGAGACGCACCUGCAUGGGUAGUGUCUGGAAAGAUUCAUCGGUCUGGGAUGGACUCGCGGCCUAUCAGCUUGUUGGUGAGGUAAUGGCUCACCAAGGCGACGGACGGGUAGCCGGCCUGAGAGGGCGACCGGCCACAGUUGGGACUGAGACACGGCCCAGACUCCGUACGGGGAGCAG